Molecule: ribosomal RNA, 501 nt
Filed under: uncultured bacterium
Lineage: Bacteria
Description: partial 16S ribosomal RNA
Rfam family: Bacterial small subunit ribosomal RNA
Source: RNAcentral
AUUGAACGCUGGCGGCAGGCUUAACACAUGCAAGUCGAGCGGAGAUGAGGUGCUUGCACCUUAUCUUAGCGGCGGACGGGUGAGUAAUGCUUAGGAAUCUGCCUAUUAGUGGGGGACAACAUUCCGAAAGGAAUGCUAAUACCGCAUACGUCCUACGGGAGAAAGCAGGGGAUCUUCGGACCUUGCGCUAAUAGAUGAGCCUAAGUCGGAUUAGCUAGUUGGUGGGGUAAAGGCCUACGGAGGCGACGAUCUGUAGCGGGUCUGAGAGGAUGAUCCGCCACACUGAGACUGGGACACGGACCAGACUCCUACGGGAGGCAGCAGUGGCGAAUAGUGGACAAUGGGGGGAACCCUGAUCCAGCCAUGCCGCGUGUGUGAAGAAGGCCUUAUGGUUGUAAAGCACUUUAAGCGAGGAGGAGGCUACUGAGACUAAUACUCUUGGAUAGUGGACGUUACUCGCAGAAUAAGCACCGGCUAACUCUGUGCCAGCCGCCGCGGUAA